Molecule: non-coding RNA, 1951 nt
Organism: Peromyscus maniculatus bairdii (prairie deer mouse)
Lineage: Eukaryota; Metazoa; Chordata; Mammalia; Rodentia; Cricetidae
Source: RefSeq, a predicted model, not a curated record
UUUCUAAUCAUCGGUGAUGAAUGAGGGAGGAAGCAUGUUUGAGUUUCCGGAACGUUCCUGGUUUGCUUUGAUCCAUCUUACUAGAUACAAGCUGCCUUGAAGAGUGAAGACUUUGAACGGCCUUGCAAAGCUAAUUCACCUGUCUCGCCGGGCCUCUUCGCUGGUUCUGUCCAAGCCGGGAGCACUCGUCCCAUAGUACUGUCUACAGGCCACGAUCCACUGCUUCUAACUGGUAGACAAUUAACAGCCCACACUCACUGUCUUCAGUUGCCUUGAGCAGUGGAUUUGGUGACUCUUAAACCUCUGUUGCCAGGGGAAGCAGAGGGAUCAGCUCUCCUGACAUUCUGGCCACAUUUCUACCAACUGCUCCACAGGCUUGUCCCAUGCACGCUUCUGUUUAAGGAGCUCUUAUUUUGUACAGUUGCUAACUCAAACCAAACUUCUCUAAAGUGCACACAUUUUCUGGAGGGUACAUCACAGUAUUCUUGCUCUAUGAGAAACUGGGUUGCCCGUUGGUGUUGUGUUUGGGGGCUGUUUUAAAUUAUAAAUAAAAAAGCACAAAGGAAAAAAAAAAGACACGAUGCUCACUCAAUAGGAGGUGCUUAUGUAUGACAUGAGAAAGCUAAGGUAGGCAUUGCUGGGAGCAUGGGCGUCUGAAGGGCAUCCAUACUCAGCUGCUGUGCCCCUGUCCUUGAACCUUGCAGGCAGCAUGGUCUUAGGUUAAGCCUGAGGGUGACUUGUACUCGGUCACUUAGUGUGGCCACUUCCACCUGCCUGUCUAUGUAGACAAACCUGAGUGUGUGUCGGGUCUCACUCAGUCCCAGCAGCUGACCUCCACCCACUGCUUGUGCCUGUCCAUCCAGAAACUUUCAUGUCCACAGACACCUCCUCUGUUUUGGGUCCUAGCGAUGCUGGUCUGACCACAUCUCUGCAGAGGUUCUGGUUCUGAGGGUCUGCCUGACCAGUCCUGGCACAAGGCUGUCAAGACCAGGAUCUUGAAGUCUGUUGCAGCUUGGACUUUGUAGUUUUGGAUCUACACAUACGUUUUAGAGAAUAGGUAGCUGUCUCAGACAGAAUCGAGGACCAGCUGACCCAGAUUUUUAAACUGGGGUCACAGUUCUACACUGGGUACAUAUGGGGGCCAUGAAAAAAAUGGGGAACAGUAAAGGGGUUCUGAAUAUGCACUGGGCAAAAAUGAAUUCAAAAGCAAGCACCUAAGGACUCUGAGGUGUUUUGGUGACUGCGUUGCCGUCUUGGUCCUAACUACGCAGCGUGGGCAUUCUGCACCAUGUCCUGUCAUUUGCCACAGCCAUGAAUGCAGCCUGAAACACCUCAGCUCAGACUGGAGACCACUGUGUGUUAUCAACUGUAGUGUUUUCCGGUACAUGCUGAGUUUUUUUUCUGGUAUAGAAAGCUAAUGCGUUCAUGUUGGAAGACAUACUGUUACAAUGUUCCUCCUGUUCCUCCUCAGCACCAAAGUAUCAGAUUAGUCCGUCUUGGGAUUGCAUUGGGCUAUGCUGUUUGAUUUUUAACAUUUAAUGUUUGAGUCACUGACUUGAACUUCAUAACACACACAUACACACACACACACACACACACACACACAGGCACACACACACACACCCAUUGGAUACAUUUUAGCUUUGGAUUGAGAGGGAAUUUCUAACAAUUUUUGAAAAGAUCCUGACUACACACCUGCUAUUUUGUGCUUUGUAUUUUGUAAAGUAGUGUUCUUAGCACUGAUGGUUAUAAAACUCAAAAUUUCAAUCAAUUGAAGAUACCCUGUCCUGCAGUAUCAAUUAUUCAGCCAUGGGUUUGCUCUUAAUGGAAACAACAAAGAAGCCUGCCCAUUUCAUCUGAAUGGAUUAGAACUUUACAUUUGUCUUUAAUAAUUGGUAACAUUGUAUGUACACUAAAGGACUGUUUUAAAAUAGAUUCCUUUGUAAUUUGU